RNAcentral lists this non-coding RNA (23 nucleotides) under Arabidopsis thaliana (thale cress). Lineage: Eukaryota; Viridiplantae; Streptophyta; Magnoliopsida; Brassicales; Brassicaceae. The record is from RNAcentral.
GUUGGCAAAAGAUAAUUUUCAUG